UGUGCUGAUUUCAGGCAAUCCUCAG
This 25-nucleotide unclassified non-coding RNA is filed under the name Mus musculus (house mouse). Its description in RNAcentral is "oocyte_clustered_small_RNA4894". The record is from RNAcentral. Lineage: Eukaryota; Metazoa; Chordata; Mammalia; Rodentia; Muridae.